Non-coding RNA from Acanthosepion pharaonis, 112 nucleotides. The record is from the annotation of a GenBank genome assembly. NCBI's taxonomy places the organism in Eukaryota, Metazoa, Mollusca, Cephalopoda, Sepiida, Sepiidae.
ACAGUCACAUCGUGUUGAAACAGCGAUUUUCGUCCGAUCACCGACGUUAAGCAACGUCGAGCCUGGUCAGUUCCCGGAUAAGUGACCGUUUAGGAAUACCAAGUGAUGUAAG